CCUACGGGUGGCAGCAGUGGGGGAUAUUGCACAAUGGGGGGAACCCUGAUGCAGCGACGCCGCGUGGGUGAAGGAGCGUUUCGGCGCGUAAAGCCCUAUCGGCAGGGAAGAAGGAGGACGGUACCUGACUAAGAAGCCCCGGCUAACUACGUGCCAGCAGCCGCGGUAAUACGUAGGGGGCAAGCGUUAUCCGGAUUUACUGUGUGUGAAGGGGGCGCAGACGGCAGCGCAAGCCAGGAGUGAAAGCCCGGGGCCCAACCCCGGGACUGCUCUUGGUACUGCGCGGCUGGAGUGCAGGAGAGGUGAGCGGAAUUCCUAGUGUAGCGGUGAAAUGCGUAGAUAUUAGGAGGAACACCAGGGGCGAAGGCGGCUCACUGGACUGUAACUGACGUUGAGGCUCGAAAGCGUGGGGAGCAAACAGGAUUAGAUACCCGGGUAGUC
This 441-nucleotide ribosomal RNA is filed under the name uncultured bacterium. Its description in RNAcentral is "partial 16S ribosomal RNA". It matches the Rfam family "Bacterial small subunit ribosomal RNA", at positions 338 to 795 of the family's 1533-position model. The record is from RNAcentral.